GCGGUUCUCUUAAGUAAACUAUGAGCGAAAAUAUGUUUCCACUUGCAGUUCUUGAGUUGAGCCCGCCAAUUUUUUUCCUCGUCCUUUAAUUAAAAUCGUCUGCAAAAAGGAAUAGCCACCGCUAGCGUAGAGCUUUUCUGUACUAGAGAAUACAAUAGUACAUUUUCCUCACUGCUACAGAAUCGUCCUUUAGUCCCGGACGGGAAGGGGCUUUAGCCCCGGAUUCUAAGCCGGGACUACGCUUCCGGGACUAAAGGCGCCCCUUUAGUCCCGGCUCCGUGCACCAGGGCCAAAGCCCCACCCUUUAGUCUCGGGCAGUAUUACCAGCCGGGAUUAAAGGAUGCUGCCAGCGGUGCCACGCAGCAGCACCCUUUAGUCCCGGCUGGUAGUACCGCCCGGGACUAAAGGGUCCCCUUGUUUUUUCUUUUUCUUUUCUUUUCAGUUCUGUUUUUUUAGUUUUGUUUAUUUAUACAAUAGGUUUUCCAAUAUGUAUUCUUUGCUGCUAAUAUAUAUAUACAUAUAUAAUUGAAUUAUAUAACUACGUAUAUAUAAAAAUAUAUGCACAUAAAUAUAUAGAAGUUGUUCUCAAAAUCUAUUACUGCACAAGUUGUACUCCAAAGUUAAUACUCUAAACCUAAUACAAGUUGUACUUCAUCAUCCAAAGAUGUAUAAAGCAUACAAAUGAUCAUCGUUGUUUGGAAUCAUCUUCUCGUUAGGAUUAUAGUGGAACUCACUGCUUAGAUUUAUGACUUGUUCCCAAAGAAAUUCUGCUAUUGCCUCUUGUAUUGCUUGGAGUUGUUCAUAUUGCAUGAGUUUUUGCUUCAACCAUUUAGUCUUCAAUCUGAAUUAAAAGAAGGUAUUAGUUAUAUCAAGAUUAUCAAUAGUAAUUCGAGAGAAAAUAAAAAGAGACAUGUGUUACAUACUCUGAGGUAUUCUUCAGGAAUUCUAUUUGUUACUGCCAUAAUAUACUCGCAAACGUAGUAUCCACAUAAGUUGUUCCACGGUUCUUGUCUCAAGAACCACUAUAGGAUGUAAAGAUUCAUCUCGUAAAAAAGACAAGAUAUAAGAUAUACCACGUUCAUUGACGAAGGAUAAACUUACUUCUAGCUGUAUUAUCUUUAGUGGCACCCUACGUUGAGUUAGAUGUUCUCGAACAAUGAAUCUUUCCCAAAUCCUAAACCAAUGAUAUAUUUAAAACAAGAGAGUUGGAUCGUUAAGUAUUCAUAUAUACAAGCUUAGUCUACUUUACACAUGCAAUGGAUCGAAAUUACCUUUGAAUGAUGUCUAUCAUAUCUUGGUAAUAUUGUUGUGGUUUCUUCAUUGAGUCAUAGAUUACCAACUUACUUUUAGCAAGAUCAAUGACUGUGAGUAUCCAGUGAAAGCUGUUCAUAGAGACAUGAGUCAUAGAUUAGGGUUAAGUAAAAUUAAAAGGCACACUUGCAUGUUAACUAUAUAUGUAUAACUCACUUGAAGUUGUAGGGGAAGAGUAUUAUUUUUUGUCUUUUUGGUUCACGAAGAACCUCAUAAGAUUCGUACACUUGUCAUUGAUCCAAGUCGCCGAAGGUUUUGGCUCCUUGAAAACGACCUAAGGAUCAACAAAUCCAAGAGUAUUAUCGGUUUUGGAUCUGAGAUCGGUCAUUUGGAGCCUGCAUAUAGUGAGUCCAUCGACAAGUACGUGUGUAAGGAUUACUACUAUAUAGACAUGAUGGCAUCGCCCCCUUUGUCUUUGGGGUUGGUGUUGAGGUCAUCCUUGGCGAUGUCAGCUUGGGCGAUGGUGCCUUUUUGUCACGAAUAGGCCACUCCCCCAAUGUGGUGGGGUAGAAACUUGGC
This 1830-nucleotide long non-coding RNA is filed under the name Sorghum bicolor (sorghum). Its description in RNAcentral is "long non-coding RNA (SBIC_LNC013639)". The record is from RNAcentral. Lineage: Eukaryota; Viridiplantae; Streptophyta; Magnoliopsida; Poales; Poaceae.